CCCAUUAUAGGGGUCUCGGAGGAUUCUUCACAUACUACCUGCAAAAGAAAAGUGUGAGAAAGAAAGUUGAGAGAAAACAGAGAAAACUUGAGGGAGAAGUGAAUCGCCGGAGUUCUCGUCCAACGAAAUUCAUCCUCUACCGAGACUUACAUUGGAGCUUCUUCCUGGAGAGAAGAAAGACUCGUGUGGUUGAGGUUCCAUCUUUCGACAAGAUCAGAGAGAAAUCUGCAAGGAUGAGAGAGAAGCCGACGACACGCCACGUGUCAACUGGCAAGAGGCCCACGUGCACCAACAACCACCGGACAUGUGUCGAACGCAGCCUGGGGAGACACGUCUCCAACCUUCUAGCAACACGCGUCUGCGCCCAGGCAACCCAACCCGCGUUCCUCGACUGACUUGGUACCCGCGCGACGAAACGAACCCUGGCGACCCGCGGUCCACCCGAACCACUGCACCCAAACCGAAUCGACGACCCGCGGCUGCAGAAAAUCGUGGGCGCGUGACACUCACACGUGGAACCUCUGAGUGAGUUUGUCCCGGCCCAUGGCUGGUGCGUGGAAGCGCGUGAUCUAAUUGAGGAAAAAUCCAUACUUUUCGAUAUGCUAACUGUGUGUAAACGAUGCGUAAGGGCACGCAUCAUCCAGGUAAGUCACACACGAAACUUUGGGGAGAAAUACUUGUAGGAGUUGCUUGAAAUGCAUGCAUGAUAGUUUAAUUAUCUUAGGUGGUAGCCUCCCGUGAUUGAAUGUAGGUAGUAAAGAUGUAUUAUGUGCAAUAUUAUGAGAAUUAUCUGAAUAUGUCUAUUAUGUUUUAAGCUUCCGCUUUACAUGUAUAUGAUUAAUUCAUGCUGAAAGGAGGAUGGAAACUUGUGAACUCUACGCUCCGGAAGCUUGAUGGAUGUUAUCGCCUCGUUGAGCAUAUAUGUUUAUUUUGCAUGAAUUUUGGAUGAUGAUGUUGAAUGAUAGUUGUGUGCACACUCAAUUAAUUUCCAUGACCCCCGACUAUGGUAAAGUCUAGGGAUUUGUUGUUAGAGUAACAAGUCACUAAGGUAUAGACCUAACCUUUCCCUUAGUAGUGUGACAAACCACCACGGCACACGAACCGUCACUCUACUAGAGUGCUCUUAGGCUACAUGUGUGUGAUUGGUGUCAUAGCUUCGUGGGGAACUAGGGGGUUCCUGAUCAGAAUCCGACUGCUCUUAGCCGUUUUAGCAUGGAAAACAUGUGCCCACGUCGCAUAGACCAUUUAGCUGGAUGGGUUAAGGGGGUAGCUCUCCCUAACCAAGGGGACUAUCAUGGGCCUAGGCUCACUUCCUAGGUAAGAUACUAGAUAGUCUCAGAGCCAUGUCGAGGUAGCUACUCGUAGGGCACCAGUCAUUACACAGGUCGGUAUAAGGGAACUCUUAAGGAUUUUUAAAUGAAAGGACAAAGAACCAAGAAGCCUCAAGGGGCAAGCCCCAAGGAGCUAAAACGAAAACUAGAUGUCCUAGAGCUAAAGUAGAGUACGUGGGAGUUUGUUAAGAUUAGUUACCAUAAGGGCCUACAAGUAGAUGGCUUAUUGAGUAUAAUUUUAUACUUAUUCUUGCUAUACCUUUCUUUUUCAGGUACGUGAGACGUCAGGUCAAGAGAGAGCGUGUUGAAUGAUGUGGGUUGUCACAGAAGAAGCGUGUCCCGUGGCGUCAGUCCAGUCUUACUAAUUAGUACACUUUGUCCUUCAUGUUUUUUUUUCCUUGUCUAUAACUAGUCACAUAUGUCAUCUUUGUAUUGAAACGCUUUGCUUACAAAAUAAAUGAUUCAUUUUUGAAA
Molecule: non-coding RNA, 1805 nt
Organism: Cucurbita pepo subsp. pepo (vegetable marrow)
Lineage: Eukaryota; Viridiplantae; Streptophyta; Magnoliopsida; Cucurbitales; Cucurbitaceae
Source: RefSeq, a predicted model, not a curated record